Non-coding RNA from Pantherophis guttatus, 474 nucleotides. The record is from RefSeq and is a predicted model, not a curated record. Lineage: Eukaryota; Metazoa; Chordata; Lepidosauria; Squamata; Colubridae.
UUGAGUUGCAUCCAAUUUUGUGCAAUGGACUGGCCUCUAUACAUAUUUUUGUAUGGACAAAUCGGAAGCACGGAUCAGAAGCAAGAGUUGGAGAGCUAUGGGCUUAUCCAUUUAUUUAUUUUUUUGCCUUCAGUGAAUUUUGCAGCUUCAGAACCAUUCAGAGGGGAUUUAAAAGUGUGGACAUAAUAUGAAUAAUCCUUUGAUGAGUUCCACCUGUUUGACAGAAUAUCCUUCUGAUACUUCUUGCAGCAUGAACAAUUCUCUGUACAGUGAUCUGGCUUUCACAUUUCUGGAGCUUCAAGCAAUUCAUUCAGUAAUGAACUGGCAAGAGUAUUAAGAUAGCUGAUUCUCUCUUCAAUUUCCUAAGAAGCAAAGAUCCUCCUGAGAUUCAAUGCAUGCUUAGUGAAAACGCAAACACUUCAUUCCCUAAAAUGAAAACCAAUAAAGUUACUGUAUAUCUUUUAUUCAAAUGUA